Long non-coding RNA from Nicotiana attenuata, 957 nucleotides. RefSeq lists it as uncharacterized. The transcript has 3 exons. NCBI's taxonomy places the organism in Eukaryota, Viridiplantae, Streptophyta, Magnoliopsida, Solanales, Solanaceae. The record is from RefSeq and is a predicted model, not a curated record.
GGUUUUUUUUUUUUAAACAAGUAACUGCAUCUACUUGUGAAUGUGAAUACCCACGUUUUUUAGAUUUUAUCUAAACCUAUGCUAUCUAAACCUACGCACGAUCGGUAACCAUCUUGAACUGCUCAAAACUGACUAUACCAACUUAUAUAUUUUCCACUGAUACUCUAUACAUAAACCAAAGGCAGGCGUAUAUCAGAAAUUCAACAAAACUAUAGGAUUCUACAAAUUAUGGCUACUCACACUGAUUUCAGCAAGGAUAUAACAAUUUCGAAAAUGCAAUGGAAAUUGAAAGUUCGGGUUGUUCGUCUGUGGGAAGUCCCGGAUCGUUACAAUUCAGACACUACUUUCUCCAUUGAAUUGGUUCUACAAGAUGAAAAGAUUCAUAUUCUGUGCGCAAUACUUGGAAUAAAUCGAAGCUGUGGAUUAAUCCAAAUUUUCCUCAAUCUGAGGAGUUUAAAACACUGUUUAAUAUACAUAUUUUUCCCACCAACUAUACUCAAAUCUAUUUUUGAACUAUACAUCUGAUUGUUUUACUCUUUCUUUAAUACAGUUUACUUUCUGUUAGAGGUAAUUACUCUGAAAGGUUGACUCAAACCAUCUCUCAACAAAGCUACUCCGUCUCGGAUGAAUUAGCAAAAGGCGUUGUUCAAGUUAAAACAAUUGGCGAAUUAAUGGAGUCCAUGGAAGGCUCUACUGAAGAUAACGAGUUGAUCGAUAUUGCAAACACACCUGCCAAGAUAGGUACAGCUAUUGCCGCAACAGUGGUUGAAGAAGAUCCGAAUGCACAAUUGUCUGGAAAUAAGAUCAAGAGAGUGUUUAAAAAGAAGAAAACAACAUAAGGUGUUUGCAUAUGUAACAGUUGGAGAAACCAAACACGGUCUUAAAAGUUAGUUUAGUAGUUUUAUUAGUUAUGAACAACAUAUUUGUAUCAUUUCAUGUUUUCCCUGCUACCGAACU